This 2497-nucleotide small RNA is filed under the name Arabidopsis thaliana (thale cress). Its description in RNAcentral is "ATSL261400". Lineage: Eukaryota; Viridiplantae; Streptophyta; Magnoliopsida; Brassicales; Brassicaceae. The record is from RNAcentral.
AAUAGUUACCAAAUUUUGUUGACUUAUAUGCUCUCUAAAACAAAACUUAAUUUUUUUUCUGAUUUUUAGUAUAAGGAAGCUAAACUAAGAUAAACAUUAGUUCACUCCUAUUAGGAAAUUGUUUAAUUGUUUUCUAUCAUUACUUACAUUUAAGAGAAUAUUACACGUAGAGGCACUAUUUCAAAACUUUGGACACAAUAGAACACUUUAAAACCAUUAGUCACUUUAACUCGGUAUAAUUACCCAUUUACCCUGAAAUCGUUGGUUUAAUAAAACAUAACAAAUUUAGCCGGUUUUCUCUAAUCCGGUUCCGGUUGAACCACGUAUUAUCAGUUACUGUCUGGGUUAAAUCUUCAUUUACCAACACGAUCGUAAAAAACCGCUUACCCAGUAAAAACCCUAAUUUACUGUAUCUCCACAUCGCGACUGCUCCCAAUCCGUCGACUGCUCCGAAUCCGGCGACUCCUCCGUCGCUGUCCAUCAAUCCGCCACUCAGGCGAGUCUAUACUCGCUGAAUAAAAACCAAAUAGUAAUUUCCCCCAAAUCUCUGCAAUAAUCGAAUUCGAUUUCGAUUUAUUGUUCUCGUAAGCCAGAUUCAUUAGCAUUCCAGUUGAUUCUCACUGAUCGGAAUACUCAAUGGAAGGUACAAAUCGUUUCCAAUCAUCUUAUUUUGGUCCAAUUAACUCAGAAGAAGAAAUCCUCUUCUCGCUGAAUGUUUCUGCAAUUUUUUUUUUGAAUCGAAAAAUGUUUCCCAAUUGUUUGUAGCUAAGCACAGACGUUUGUGGUUUUAGUAGUUUGUACAAAUACUCGUUAAUCUAAUCUUUAUCUCUUGAACUGGUUUCUUGCCAAUGAACAGGGUCGACAUCUCAGGAACCAUCUUCUCAGUGGGAUUCAAACCUUCCAAAUAGACUCUUCGCCACCGAUCAUUAUCCGAGGGGAAGGCUGAACGUAUACUCUAGACCGGAUAUUCUAUCCUUUAUCAAGAAGGUUUUUGAUGGGACAGAGGAUUUAGAUUUUAUACUUCAGUCUUGCUUUGGUCCUUUAUUCCAUUUGCCAGUUAGUAGGGUUGCGACUUCGGGUAAGGUCAUUCAUGCCUUGUUAUGUAGACCCGAUGACCCUAUGGAGGUAUACAUUUUCAACUAGUUCCUUGAUUUAUUGGACACCGGUGAGGGAUGCUUCAUCACUCAGUCCUUGUCCAAAAAAAUAUUUACAGGCCAAUUCUCCAGACUGUAAUUCUCCACAGGGCAAUGCAGCAUCUCAGUGCAUUCUAAAAGAUCCAAAUGGCCAUGAAGCAGAUGAUGAGGGAAAAAUCCAGGUACAAAAAUACAAACACAACACAUCAAACAAUUUAUUUUACAGGUUAUAGAUUCUCACAAAAUUGACUACUGUACUUUACAAUCAGUUUGAUUCAAGUGCAAACCUAAGCCAAAAAGAACAAUCUCCUCUCGAGCAAGACAAUAUUAUGGAGAUAAGCUUAUAUAUAAACCAAAUUAUUGUCAGAACUUUAUUAAACCAAAUUAUUGUCACAGCCCUUAAGACAUAUCUGUUUGUAAUUCAUAAUUCAGGAAACCUUGGAGACGGUUGAAGCUUCUCAUUCAGUGUUGGAGACGCAACCCGAAGAAAACAUUGACGAUGAUCAUAUGACGGAGGUAAGCUAAUACAUAAUUUGAUUUAACACAUUGGAUUUAGUCCUUAAUAUAAAUAAUGACUCUUGUGCAUAGUUAUUGUGGACAUGAUUUUGUGGAUACUUACUAGUGUACUUCAACAUUCAGGUUACUUUGGAGUCAGCUGCAACAUCUCACUCAGUCGAACUACCUCAACCCGAUGACCCUGUGGAGGUAUACAUUUUUAACUAGUUCCUUGCUUUAUUUGACACUGGAGAGGGAUGCUUCUUCUAUCAGAUCUUUUCCAAAACAACAUUUAUAAGCCAAUUCUCAACAGGGCAAGCCAAUACCUUUAAUCAUUACAUAUAUUAAUGGCUUUACAAAAAAUAAUCUAAAAAAACAACUACAAUUACUAAAAAUGGAUUAUAACUACUUUUCCUGUUAAAACAUCAUCUCCAUAUGGAUACGAGUUUAUGGAUAGUUAAACGGGAUUGCACAGAUUUGCGGUUUAGCAAGAUAUGCUAAUUAUAGACUAUUUUAACACAAUAAAUAAACAUAUAUACUUAUAUUUGGUACAUCAAGAACUAGGUUUACAGAAACGGAAAAACAUUUAUGGGAAUAUCUUACAAUAAGAAAUGAAAUAUUUUACAAAAACAUGGAAACUAGUUACAGAUCAUACAUUAAUUAACAACUUAAAUUCAAAAAUAAAAUUUCUCAUUGUAUUAGAUCAACUUGUCCUGUUAUGACCCAAUCUAAAAAAACAACUACACGUACUCAAAAUGGAUUAGAACUACUUUACCUGUUUAAAAAACAUCUCCAUAUGGAUAUGGCUUUAUGGAUAAGCAAACGGUAUUGCAGAGGAUUGCGAUACAAUCAGGAUAUAAAAUCAGCAA